UACGUAGGGUGCGAGCGUUAAUCGGAAUUACUGGGCGUAAAGAGCGCGCAGGCGGUCGUUCAAGUCGAGUGUGAAAGCCCCCCGGCUCAACUGGGGAGGGUCACUCGAUACUGAUCGACUUGAAGGCAGGAGAGGGAAGCGGAAUUCCCGGUGUAGUGGUGAAAUGCGUAGAUAUCGGGAGGAACACCAGUGGCGAAGGCGG
This 202-nucleotide ribosomal RNA is filed under the name uncultured bacterium. Its description in RNAcentral is "partial 16S ribosomal RNA". It matches the Rfam family "Bacterial small subunit ribosomal RNA", at positions 524 to 724 of the family's 1533-position model. The record is from RNAcentral.